CAGCACCUCAAGUGGUCAGGAUGAUUAUUGGGCCUAAAGCAUCCGUAGCCGGCGCUGUAAGUUUUCGGUUAAAUCUGUACGCUCAACGUACAGGCUGCCGGGAAUACUGCAGAGCUAGGGAGUGGGAGAGGUAGACGGUACUCGGUAGGGAGGGGUAAAAUCCUUUGAUCUAUUGAUGACCACCUGUGGCGAAGGCGGUCUACCAGAACACGUCCGACGGUGAGGGAUGAAAGCUGGGGGAGCAAACCGGAUUAGAUACCCGAGUAGUCC
RNAcentral lists this ribosomal RNA (270 nucleotides) under uncultured archaeon. RNAcentral's name for it is "partial 16S ribosomal RNA". It matches the Rfam family "Archaeal small subunit ribosomal RNA", at positions 477 to 747 of the family's 1478-position model. The record is from RNAcentral.